Molecule: long non-coding RNA, 559 nt
Filed under: Setaria italica (foxtail millet)
Lineage: Eukaryota; Viridiplantae; Streptophyta; Magnoliopsida; Poales; Poaceae
Description: long non-coding RNA (SITA_LNC006435)
Source: RNAcentral
UUGGCGAUGUGCUAAAAUUUGAGAAUGGAAGGGAUCAGGAGCACUUGCAUUGUCCGCACAAGUAGAUUGCUGACGUCGACGGGAGAUCUAUUGCUUUCUGCCUCUUGCAAUGGUUGCCAAAGACCCCUGCAAGAAUCCACUUGAAUUCGCAACCAGCGGCACAGCACAAAUGAGGGAUGCCGGACGCAGCCAGUUGAGGCCGAAAUGUGCUCAGGACACAUGAGUCUUCCUUUUCUUUUUCCUCCAUCGCGUGAGAGGCGUGACCACCCAAACCCCAUGCCUGCCACAAGCGAUCAAAGUCUUCGUAGCACCGCCUCUGUAUGCAGCUGCUAAUGCUAUGAGUGCUACUGCAUUAUUGUCGCCAGCCAUGUUUGAUGGUCAUUCUUGCAGUGCAGAUUAAGGCCCACGCCUACAUUAGUUGACAUGGUAAAUUUUUCUUAAUUUUAAGGCACGUAUCUUUUACAUUGGUUAGAUCAACAGAAAGGCUCCGUAAGUUUAAUUUUGGACUUGUAAUGAGCUUGAUUAUUAGCUGUGUAAUGUGAGCAAAACAUUUUUUUUC